UACGGAGGAUGCGAGCGUUAUCCGGAUUCAUUGGGUUUAAAGGGUGCGUAGGCGGCUUCUUAAGUCAGUGGUGAAAUCCUGCGGCUCAACCGUAGAACUGCCAUUGAUACUGAUAAGCUUGAAUAUAGUUGAGGUAGGCGGAAUGAGUAGUGUAGCGGUGAAAUGCUUAGAUAUUACUCAGAACACCGAUUGCGAAGGCAGCUUACCAAGUUAUAAUUGACGCUGAGGCACGAAAGCGUGGGGAUCAAACAGGAUUAGAUACCCUGGUAGUCCACGCCGUAAACGAUGUUCACUCGCUGUUUGCGAUAUACAGUAAGCGGCCAAGCGAAAGCAUUAAGUGAACCACCUGGGGAGUACGUCGGCAACGGUGAA
RNAcentral lists this ribosomal RNA (372 nucleotides) under uncultured bacterium. Its description in RNAcentral is "bacterial SSU rRNA". It matches the Rfam family "Bacterial small subunit ribosomal RNA", at positions 524 to 898 of the family's 1533-position model. The record is from RNAcentral.